Molecule: ribosomal RNA, 468 nt
Filed under: uncultured bacterium
Lineage: Bacteria
Description: partial 16S ribosomal RNA
Rfam family: Bacterial small subunit ribosomal RNA
Source: RNAcentral
GACGAACGCUGGCGGCGUGCUUAACACAUGCAAGUCGAACGGUGAAGCUCCAGCUUGCUGGAGUGGAUCAGUGGCGAACGGGUGAGUAACACGUGAGCAACCUGCCCCUGACUCUGGAAUAAGCGCUGGAAACGGCGUCUAAUACUGGAUACGAGAAGGGUCCGCAUGGGCACUUUCUGGAAAGUUUUUCGGUUGGGGAUGGGCUCGCGGCCUAUCAGCUUGUUGGUUAGGUAAUGGCUCACCAAGGCGACGACGGGUAGCCGGCCUGAGAGGGCGACCGGCCACACUGGGACUGAGACACGGCCCAGACUCCUACGGGAGGCAGCAGUGGGGAAUAUUGCACAGUGGGCGAAAGCCUGAUGCAGCGACGCCGCGUGAGGGAUGACGGCCUGCGGGUUGUAAACCUCUUUCAGCAGGGAAGAAGCGAAAGUGACGGUACCUGCAGAAGAAGCACCGGCUAACUACGUG